GACGAACGCUGGCGGCGUGCUUAACACAUGCAAGUCGAACGGAAAGGCCCUGCUUUCGUGGGGUGCUCGAGUGGCGAACGGGUGAGUAACACGUGAGUAACCUGCCCUUGACUUUGGGAUAACUUCAGGAAACUGGGGCUAAUACCGGAUAGGAGCUCCUGCUGCAUGGUGGGGGUCGGAAAGCUUAGGCGGUUGGGGAUGGACUCGCGGCUUAUCAGCUUGUUGGUGGGGUAGUGGCUUACCAAGGCUUUGACGGGUAGCCGGCCUGAGAGGGUGACCGGCCACAUUGGGACUGAGAUACGGCCCAGACUCCUACGGGAGGCAGAAGUGGGGAAUAUUGCACAAUGGGCGGAAGCCUGAUGCAGCAACGCCGCGUGCGGGAUGACGGCCUUCGGGUUGUAAACCGCUUUCGCCUGUGACGAAGCGUGAGUGACGGUAAUGGGUAAAGAAGCACCGGCUAACUACGUG
RNAcentral lists this ribosomal RNA (468 nucleotides) under uncultured bacterium. RNAcentral describes it as "partial 16S ribosomal RNA". It matches the Rfam family "Bacterial small subunit ribosomal RNA", at positions 28 to 507 of the family's 1533-position model. The record is from RNAcentral.